GUCUUGAAACACGGACCAAGGAGUCUAGCAUGUGCGCGAGUCAUUGGGAAAAACUAAACCUAAAGGCGCAAUGAAAGUGAAGGUCCGCCUCGCGCGGACCGAGGGAGGAUGGGCGGUGUCCCCGUACGAUGGCCCGCCCCGCACUCCCGGGGCGUCUCGUUCUCAUUGCGAGAAGAGGCGCACCAAGAGCGUACACGCUGGGACCCGAAAGAUGGUGAACUAUGCCUGGUCAGGACGAAGUCAGGGGAAACCCUGAUGGAGGUCCGUAGCGAUUCUGACGUGCAAAUCGAUCGUCGGAACUGGGUAUAGGGGCGAAAGACUAAUCGAACCAUCUAGUAGCUGGUUCCCUCCGAAGUUUCCCUCAGGAUAGCUGGCGCUCGUCGCCUACGAGUCUCAUCCGGUAAAGCGAAUGAUUAGAGGCAUUGGGGUCGAAACGGCCUCAACCUAUUCUCAAACUUUAAAUGGGUGAGAUCUCCGGCUUGCUCGAACUACUGAAGCCGCGAGACACGGAUCAGAGUGCCAAGUGGGCCAUUUUUGGUAAGCAGAACUGGCGCUGUGGGAUGAACCAAACGCCGAGUUAAAGCGCCUAAAUCGACGCUUAUGGGAUACCAUGAAAGGCGUUGGUAACUUAAGACAGCAGGACGGUGGCCAUGGAAGUCGGAAUCCGCUAAGGAGUGUGGU
RNAcentral lists this ribosomal RNA (681 nucleotides) under Cymatodera puncticollis. RNAcentral describes it as "eukaryotic LSU rRNA". It matches the Rfam family "Eukaryotic large subunit ribosomal RNA", at positions 651 to 1284 of the family's 3401-position model. Lineage: Eukaryota; Metazoa; Arthropoda; Insecta; Coleoptera; Cleridae. The record is from RNAcentral.